UACGUAGGGCGCAAGCGUUGUCCGGAAUUAUUGGGCGUAAAGAGCUCGUAGGCGGUCUGUCGCGUCCGUUGUGAAAACUCGAGGCUCAACCUCGGGCUUGCAGUGGAUACGGGCAGACUAGAGUGCGGUAGGGGAGACUGGAAUUCCUGGUGUAGCGGUGAAAUGCGCAGAUAUCAGGAGGAACACCGGUGGCGAAGGCGGGUCUCUGGGCCGAUACUGACGCUGAGGCGCGAAAGCUAGGGGAGCAAACGGG
This 253-nucleotide ribosomal RNA is filed under the name uncultured bacterium. Its description in RNAcentral is "partial 16S ribosomal RNA". It matches the Rfam family "Bacterial small subunit ribosomal RNA", at positions 524 to 776 of the family's 1533-position model. The record is from RNAcentral.